AGUCCACAUCGACGGGGAGGUUUGGCACCUCGAUGUCGGCUCGUCGCAUCCUGGGGCUGUAGUCGGUCCCAAGGGUUGGGCUGUUCGCCCAUUAAAGCGGCACGCGAGCUGGGUUCAGAACGUCGUGGGACAGUUCGGUCCCUAUCCGUCGCGGGCGCAGGAAAUUUGAGAGGAGCUGUCCUUAGUACGAGAGGACCGGGAUGGACACACCGCUGGUGUACCAGUUGUUCCGCCAGGAGCAUCGCUGGGUAGC
RNAcentral lists this ribosomal RNA (253 nucleotides) under Listeria monocytogenes. Its description in RNAcentral is "partial 23S ribosomal RNA". It matches the Rfam family "Bacterial large subunit ribosomal RNA", at positions 2497 to 2749 of the family's 2925-position model. The record is from RNAcentral. Lineage: Bacteria; Bacillati; Bacillota; Bacilli; Caryophanales; Listeriaceae.